GGCCUUAUAGUAUAAGGGUAACAUCCUUAGUUUUAAACUAAGAGGUUAUAGGUUUAACCCCUACUAGGGGCC
This is a transfer RNA of Pseudogymnoascus sp. 23342-1-I1, 72 nucleotides long. It matches the Rfam family "tRNA". Rfam says of the family: Transfer RNA (tRNA) molecules are approximately 80 nucleotides in length. Their secondary structure includes four short double-helical elements and three loops (D, anti-codon, and T loops). The record is from Rfam. NCBI's taxonomy places the organism in Eukaryota, Fungi, Ascomycota, Leotiomycetes, Thelebolales, Thelebolaceae.